GAGUUUGAUCCUGGCUCAGGAUUAACGCUGGCGGCGUGCCUAAUACAUGCAAGUCGAACGGAAGUUUAAGCAAUUAAACUUUAGUGGCGAACGGGUGAGUAACGCGUAAGCAAUCUGCCCCUAAGACGAGGAUAACAGUUGGAAACGACUGCUAAGACUGGAUAGGAGACAAGAGGGCAUCUUCUUGUUUUUAAAAGACCUAGCAAUAGGUAUGCUUAGGGAGGAGCUUGCGUCACAUUAGUUAGUUGGUGGGGUAAAGGCCUAACAAGACUAUGAUGUGUAGCCGGGCUGAGAGGUUGAACGGCCACAUUGGGACUGAGACACGGCCCAAACUCCUACGGGAGGCAGCAGUAGGGAAUUUUCGGCAAUGGAGGAAACUCUGACCGAGCAACGCCGCGUGAACGAUGAAGUAUUUCGGUACGUAAAGUUCUUUUAUUAGGGAAGAAUAAAUGAUGGAAAAAUCAUUCUGACGGUACCUAAUGAAUAAGCCCCGGCUAACUAUGUGCCAGCAGCCGCGGUAAUACAUAGGGGGCAAGCGUUAUCCGGAAUUAUUGGGCGUAAAGGGUGCCUAGGCGGUUAAAUAAGGUUAUGGUCUAAGUGCAAUGCUCAACAUGGUGAUGCUAUAAAAACUGUUUAGCUAGAGUAAGAUAGAGGCCAGUGGAAUUCCAUGUGUAGUGGUAAAAUGCGUAAAUAUAUGGAGGAACACCAGUAGCGAAGGCGGCUUGCUGGGUCUUUACUGACGCUGAGGCACGAAAGCGUGGGGAGCAAACAGGAUUAGAUACCCUGGUAGUCCACGCCGUAAACGAUGAGUACUAAACGUUGGGUAAAACCAGUGUUGAAGUUAACACAUUAAGUACUCCGCCUGAGUAGUACGUACGCAAGUAUUGAAACUUAAAGGAAUUGACGGGACUCCGCACAAGCGGUGGAUCAUGUUGUUUAAUUCGAAGGUACCCGAAAAACCUCACCAGGUCUUGACAUGCUUCUGCAAAGCUGUUAGAAA
RNAcentral lists this ribosomal RNA (1000 nucleotides) under 'Juniperus sp.' aster yellows phytoplasma. Its description in RNAcentral is "bacterial SSU rRNA". It matches the Rfam family "Bacterial small subunit ribosomal RNA", at positions 9 to 1006 of the family's 1533-position model. Lineage: Bacteria; Bacillati; Mycoplasmatota; Mollicutes; Acholeplasmatales; Acholeplasmataceae. The record is from RNAcentral.